UCCAAGGUUCUUUCCCAUGCUGGCGGUCAGAGUGAUAAGGCCUCUCCCGCUAAAAUGUUUCUAUAAUACUCUCAGUGGUCAGUUGAUUCCCUGUAUCCAAAUCUUAUCCCAAUAAGUCACUUUAGUUCCCCCUGAUUCCUGAGCAAAGCCAUUAACUAAACAACGAAGAAAACAGAAUUUGUAUGAAUGCCAACUGAUUCAAAUACUAAUUGGUAAUAUCUGUGUGCAGUAGUUUCCUUCAAUAUAUGUUAUAUUAUACUUAACUGCUCUCCUGUCCAGGAUAUUGGUAUUAUGCAUUUGUACAACAUUUGUUACACUUUGUUUAAUUAUCUUUUAUAGAUUACCGAUAGAGCAUUUAAAAGAAAUGAAUGAAAAGUGUGUGCAGAGUGCUGCUCUAUAACUGAAUGGGUCACUUGGAAUUCAUUUUGUCUACAUCCUGGACUGCACGUAGGGAGACAAAAAAAAACCGCCUGGGAUUGGAGAGGAGGAAUGUGGCAGGGCAUGGGAAUCGCAGUGUCCUGGUGGUCACCGAGCAUAUUUUGGCUUGUCUUAAAACAAGCAAGCACCGUUGGACCUUUGGAAUCCUAACAAGUGAAGAAAUAUUAUUUCCUUCCUGACUCGCUGAAAAUUCAAGUAGAGAAGACCGUGAAGAAUCUGGGCAAUAUUUCUCAUAUUUAGUUCUGUAAGAUUUUAUUUAGUUGUGCUCUGACCCUGGGUACUCUUGAGAGCUAAGAGAUAUAGAAAAUGUCUUUUGGAGUUUGAGAACCGGGGUUCAAAAUCCUAAUCCUGUCUCCUUUUAUCCAUAGGAUUUGGGCAAGUUACUUAAGGUCUAUCACCAUUUUCUUAUCUGUAAAAUGGACUUAAUAAUAGUAUCUACCUGAAAGCAUUAUUGGAAGGAGUAAAUGAAUACUUCAUCUGUAGAACAGUGUCCGUCACAAGAUAAGAAAUUUCAUUCUUAUUAUAGCCCCAUCAGUUGAUAUGUAUUACAGCAUCUAGGACUCUGAUAUGUAAAUUUUACUUAGACACUUUUAUUCCUUUGUAUGUUUUUAAGAGUAAUGCCUUGAGACACUUUUCAUCUCUGUGUUCUUAAUGUAACAUCACAGUGUUUCACUCAAAGUUACUCCAUAAACAUUUGUUAAAUGGAUGGCUGGCUGGCUGGCUGGAUGGAUGGACGGACAGAUGGAAGUAGAAAUAUACAGCAUCAGGGUUGGUCCUAAGCAAUCAUUUUCAAAUCAGGACGUGUAUAUCUGGGGGUAUCUCCUUUCUGUCAUCCCCUUCAACUGUUUAGAUAUUGUUGCCUUUCUAAGUUUGGACAUGCUCCAAGCCUUGUUUUUCCUCCUCUUUCUUAUCACAUUUUUCUUCUCUUCAGUUCUUCUAAGUGACUAUCUAGUUUGAUCAGUAAGUAAAAGGGGCUUUAUGUGUCAUGUCUUCAAGAUAGCUUGUAUAUUUUAUCAGAUAAUUUUUUUCUCACUGCUUCAUUCCACAGAAGUGACUAAUAUGGGGAUUUCAAGAGAGCUAUUACAAAAAAAUUUUUUUUUUUUGUAGGAGGCUUUUGGACUUAAAAAAAAAAAAAAAAAACCUAUAAAACAUCUGCCUCCUUUACCUGGGGCUAAAGCUGACCCUGAGCAAUACUUUGUUCCAAUAAUAUGAACAGCUACAUAAACUCAUUUUGCAUGAAAAGGUAGGGGGUAAAUAUCGAAAGAAGGAGGCCAUCAGGAAGCCCCUGUGGCAUAUGCUGAGUUACAGUCCAGCAAUAAGAUUAACACAUGCACUUCAGCCUCUCUCCCCACCCCCAAGGGAAGAGAAGCCUGAGUGUCAACAUGAAAUAUUCAAGUCUCAUAUUUUCCAGGUGUACAAGCCAAAUCUCGCAAUGAUGUUGGCGACCUCUUAGAGUUGCAAAAUAAUGGAGAAAUUUUCAAGUGAAUGAUUCUCUGGAUCUCUUAAGAAUAUUCUUUCUUUCUACAUGUUCUUUCAAACUUGGUAUUUCCACAGUGGUGGAAGGUCAAAGUGGAAUUCAGACAAGUGUCACAUAUUUUGCUGAGGCAACAGGUACGUAAUGAAGGCUUUUUA
Herpailurus yagouaroundi (jaguarundi) is the source of this 2070-nucleotide long non-coding RNA. RefSeq lists it as uncharacterized. The record is from RefSeq and is a predicted model, not a curated record. The transcript is spliced from 3 exons. NCBI's taxonomy places the organism in Eukaryota, Metazoa, Chordata, Mammalia, Carnivora, Felidae.